Molecule: ribosomal RNA, 225 nt
Filed under: uncultured bacterium
Lineage: Bacteria
Description: partial 16S ribosomal RNA
Rfam family: Bacterial small subunit ribosomal RNA
Source: RNAcentral
UGAGUAACACGUAUCCAACCUGCCGUCUACUCUUGGACAGCCUUCUGAAAGGAAGAUUAAUACAAGAUGGCAUCAUGAGUCCGCAUGUUCACAUGAUUAAAGGUAUCGGUAGACGAUGGGGAUGCGUUCCAUUAGAUAGUAGGCGGGGUAACGGCCCACCUAGUCUUCGAUGGAUAGGGGUUCUGAGAGGAAGGUCCCCCACAUUGGAACUGAGACACGGUCCAA